This 253-nucleotide ribosomal RNA is filed under the name uncultured bacterium. RNAcentral's name for it is "partial 16S ribosomal RNA". It matches the Rfam family "Bacterial small subunit ribosomal RNA", at positions 524 to 776 of the family's 1533-position model. The record is from RNAcentral.
UACGAAGGGGGCUAGCGUUGUUCGGAAUUACUGGGCGUAAAGCGCGCGUAGGCGGUGAUCUAUGUCAGAGGUGAAAUCCCGGGGCUCAACUCCGGAAUUGCCUUUGAAACGGGAUUGCUAGAGUCCGAGAGAGGAUGGCGGAAUUCCUAGUGUAGAGGUGAAAUUCGUAGAUAUUAGGAAGAACACCGGUGGCGAAGGCGGCCAUCUGGCUCGGUACUGACGCUCAGGCGCGAAAGCGUGGGGAGCAAACAGG